RNAcentral lists this ribosomal RNA (869 nucleotides) under Acremonium alternatum. RNAcentral's name for it is "LSU rRNA". It matches the Rfam family "Eukaryotic large subunit ribosomal RNA", at positions 36 to 938 of the family's 3401-position model. Lineage: Eukaryota; Fungi; Ascomycota; Sordariomycetes; Hypocreales; Bionectriaceae. The record is from RNAcentral.
AAGCAUAUCAAUAAGCGGAGGAAAAGAAACCAACAGGGAUUGCCCUAGUAACGGCGAGUGAAGCGGCAACAGCUCAAAUUUGAAAAUCUGGCCUCACGGUCCGAAUUGUAAUUUGUAGAGGAUGUUUCUGGCGACGUGUCUUCCGAGUUCCCUGGAACGGGACGCCAUAGAGGGUGAGAGCCCCGUCCGGUCGUACACCUAGCCUCUGUGAAACUCCUUCGACGAGUCGAGUAGUUUGGGAAUGCUGCUCUAAAUGGGAGGUAUACGUCUUCUAAAGCUAAAUACCGGCCAGAGACCGAUAGCGCACAAGUAGAGUGAUCGAAAGAUGAAAAGCACUUUGAAAAGAGGGUUAAAUAGUACGUGAAAUUGCUGAAAGGGAAGCGCUUAUGACCAGACUUGGGCUCGGUGAAUCAUCCGGCGUUCUCGCCGGUGCACUUUGCCGUCCCAGGCCAGCAUCAGUUCGCGCCGGGGGAUAAAGGUUUCGGGAAUGUAGCUCCCUCGGGAGUGUUAUAGCCCGUUGCGUAAUACCCUGGCGUGGACUGAGGUCCGCGCUCUGCAAGGAUGCUGGCGUAAUGGUCAUCAGUGACCCGUCUUGAAACACGGACCAAGGAGUCGUCUUCGUAUGCGAGUGUUCGGGUGUCAAACCCCUACGCGUAAUGAAAGUGAACGUAGGAGAGAGCUUCGGCGCAUCUCCGACCGAUCCUGAUGUUCUCGGAUGGAUUUGAGUAAGAGCAUACGGGGCCGGACCCGAAAGAAGGUGAACUAUGCCUGUAUAGGGUGAAGCCAGAGGAAACUCUGGUGGAGGCUCGCAGCGGUUCUGACGUGCAAAUCGAUCGUCAAAUAUGGGCAUGGGGCGAAAGACUAAUCGA